This 497-nucleotide ribosomal RNA is filed under the name uncultured bacterium. RNAcentral describes it as "partial 16S ribosomal RNA". It matches the Rfam family "Bacterial small subunit ribosomal RNA", at positions 28 to 507 of the family's 1533-position model. The record is from RNAcentral.
GACGAACGCUGGCGGCGUGCCUAAUACAUGCAAGUUGAGCGCUGAAGGUUGGUACUUGUACCCACUGGAUGAGCAGCGCACGGGUGAGUAACGCGUGGGGAAUCUGCCUUUGAGCGGGGGACAACAUUUGGAAACGAAUGCUAAUACCGCAUAAAAACUUUAAACACAAGUUUUAAGUUUGAAAGAUGCAAUUGCAUCACUCAAAGAUGAUCCCGCGUUGUAUUAGCUAGUUGGUGAGGUAAAGGCUCACCAAGGCGAUGAUACAUAGCCGACCUGAGAGGGUGAUCGGCCACAUUGGGACUGAGACACGGCCCAAACUCCUACGGGAGGCAGCAGUAGGGAAUCUUCGGCAAUGGACGAAAGUCUGACCGAGCAACGCCGCGUGAGUGAAGAAGGUUUUCGGAUCGUAAAACUCUGUUGGUAGAGAAGAACGUUGGUGAGAGUGGAAAGCUCAUCAAGUGACGGUAACUACACAGAAAGGGACGGCUAACUACGUG